CCGUGAUUUCACCGCCAUUCUUGUUCUGUUUUGAAACUGUUUACAUCGCAAUUUGUUUUACAAAAAAUGGCAACAUUUAAAUCAUGACAUAACAAAUAUAAAAGGAAAUUUUAGCUGGUGUGAUAAGAUGAAAUGUCUCAUCGAUUGUUUGGUUUCUUUUCGUUGUUUGCAUGCAGACAUCCACAACAACAACAAGGGAAAUUUGAAACCGAAGUCGAAGAGGCUAGCCAAGCAGCGUACAACGUUAUACAAUACUCAUACUAUAUUAUUUGUCAAUUUGUUAUAUUUGACAAAAUUUGCUAUAUUAUGUUGGAGCCGGCCAGGUUAUAGCCCAGUUCUAAAUAUUGCUCUCAACAAUCAGGAAUAUCUGGAUUGAGUUGACAAACUAGUGUUGUAUUAGGUAAGAAAAAGAGUAAAUAGUCUGCUUUUAGUGCUUUAUAUGAAGAAAAUGGCAAACUGUCCCAGCUAAGGUGGCCAUUCAGGCCAGAUAAUCAGUCUAGAUCUUGUAAACAGCCUCUAAGGAGGUUGUUUGCAGCCUCUAAGGAGGUUGUUUGUAGGAUUUAUUACAUUUCUUGAUACUGCAUCAAGAAUUUAGUAACUAUUGUAUCAACACAAUUACACAUGAAUCCUAAGCCUACCUCUAAAUGCAGCCCAUUUUAAGGCCUGUUUAUACUGUGCUCAAUUUUGGUACCCUUAACAUGUUUACCAUGCAUGGACUACCUAUAUUCAUACAGGACGAGCACAAAUAAAUUUGGUACAGGACAACAGGUACCAAUUUUAUCUGUGCCAUAGCAAAAAAUGAGCAUAGUGUACAACAGUUAGUUUAGAUAAAGGUUCAGUGUGCAAUAACCAGUUUUCUGUCAUGAAUAAGUCAGUACAGUACAUGUAAAGCUGUCCAUAAGCCUGCAACAAUGCAGGGGGAAGGCUGUGGCUGGACCCAUUGACCUGCAAUUUGUCCUAAUGUGCUCCAUCUUGUUAAUUUACUCUGUCUGAUACCAAACAAAUAUACAUAUAUUUUCAUGCUUCAUAUACUAACUCGUCAGUAAGCCCUAAAGUCUCCCCGUAAGAUGGUUAAGCCAAUAUAUACCUGGUAACCCAUCAGAUAUGGCUACCCUAAGGGCAUCCCAUAUUUGCAUGGCCUAACACUAGAUUAUUCUUGCUGUCUUAAUGCCAAUUAAAGCUAAAACAUGUAACAUGUAAUUAAAGCUAAAACAUGUAAACAUAUGAUUUUAUCAAUUCGUAUUUUUUCAGCUUUUGCUCUGGACGAUACAGUCUAUAGAAAGACAGCUGCUAUGCAAAAACGGUACAGGACAAAUGCUGUGGGGUUCGAAGAGGAGAAACUAAAAGCAAACCAUCUGAGUGAGACUUGACAAUUAACAAUUAUUGACGUUUAGAUACUCAAUAUUUAUUUCUGGCCAUAAAUAAUAUAAUUAUAUAUUAGAAAAUUUUAAAUAAGUGUAGGUUAUAGUACCAUAUGUGUAAGUACUCUGGGACCGGUUGUUCAAAGCUGGACUAGUGAUAACCCUGAGUUAAAAUUUAACCUGCUGUUUUAGUUUGUGUAUUUCUGCAGGUCUGUUUAUCUCAAAACGUCUGUUUAUUUCAAAACGUCAAAGAAGAAAACUCCUAUCGAUCCAGACAAGAUCUUUGAAGACAUAUUUCCAAAUUUAUUGACAAGCUGUCAGGAAGUUUGCUUUGAAUUAAGCUAUAGGGUUAAGCUAAAUUACCUAAUCCAGCUUUCAACAACUGGCCCCUGGUGAAUGAUUGAUUACACUAUACAGUCUUAAAUUUAUCUAUAUGUGUGACCUAUAAUUAUAUAUUUACUAAUAUUAAAUUAAUAUUCUGAUAGUAUUUCUUCGUAUUAAAUUAUUAUGGCUUCAAGUGAACAUGGCAGAGGUACAGUUGCAGCAACUUUAUGUUGCAGAAGUAAGAGGAAAUAGUUUUAAUUUUAUGGUAGAAAUAAAUCUCACUUGGUGGUAGUUAUGUUACAUAUCUGUUUGGUAGAUAAUAUACAGACAAUUUUAUCUGUAGGGAAACUAUACUGUCACAUAACUGUGCCGGAUAUAUUAUUGGGUCAAAUUCCUAUAUGUUGCAGAUAUGUGGCAGACGUCUGUCACAUAACUGUGACAGGUGUCUGUCACAUAUAACUUUACUGUAACAGAUAUCUGCCACAUAACUGUGACAGAUAUGCCAUGGGGCCAAAUUCCUAUAUGUCGCAGAUAUGUGACAGAUACUUUCUUA
This is a non-coding RNA of Paramuricea clavata, 2238 nucleotides long. NCBI's taxonomy places the organism in Eukaryota, Metazoa, Cnidaria, Anthozoa, Malacalcyonacea, Plexauridae. The record is from the annotation of a GenBank genome assembly.